Molecule: ribosomal RNA, 1257 nt
Filed under: Salmonella enterica subsp. enterica
Lineage: Bacteria; Pseudomonadati; Pseudomonadota; Gammaproteobacteria; Enterobacterales; Enterobacteriaceae
Description: partial 23S ribosomal RNA
Rfam family: Bacterial large subunit ribosomal RNA
Source: RNAcentral
CCGUACACAAAAGCGCAUGUGCUGUGAGCUCGAUGAGUAGGGCGGGACACGUGGUAUCCUGUCUGAAUAUGGGGGGACCAUCCUCCAAGGCUAAAUACUCCUGACUGACCGAUAGUGAACCAGUACCGUGAGGGAAAGGCGAAAAGAACCCCGGCGAGGGGAGUGAAAAAGAACCUGAAACCGUGUACGUACAAGCAGUGGGAGCACAGGUUUACCUGUGUGACUGCGUACCUUUUGUAUAAUGGGUCAGCGACUUAUAUUCUGUAGCAAGGUUAACCGAAUAGGGGAGCCGGAGGGAAACCGAGUCUUAAUUGGGCGUUAAGUUGCAGGGUAUAGACCCGAAACCCGGUGAUCUAGCCAUGGGCAGGUUGAAGGUUGGGUAACACUAACUGGAGGACCGAACCGACUAAUGUUGAAAAAUUAGCGGAUGACCUGUGGCUGGGGGUGAAAGGCCAAUCAAACCGGGAGAUAGCUGGUUCUCCCCGAAAGCUAUUUAGGUAGCGCCUCGUGAAUUCAUCUCCGGGGGUAGAGCACUGUUUCGGCUAGGGGGCCAUCCCGGCUUACCAACCCGAUGCAAACUGCGAAUACCGGAGAAUGUUAUCACGGGAGACACACGGCGGGUGCUAACGUCCGUCGUGAAGAGGGAAACAACCCAGACCGCCAGCUAAGGUCCCAAAGUCAUGGUUAAGUGGGAAACGAUGUGGGAAGGCCCAGACAGCCAGGAUGUUGGCUUAGAAGCAGCCAUCAUUUAAAGAAAGCGUAAUAGCUCACUGGUCGAGUCGGCCUGCGCGGAAGAUGUAACGGGGCUAAACCAUGCACCGAAGCUGCGGCAGCGAACGUAUCACCCAAGACAACUUUACGGAGUUGACGAUUGACGGAGCGAAGCGACGUCAAAGCGUUCAUUAAAGUCGAGUUGGCUUAGGGAUACGUUCGUUGGGUAGGGGAGCGUUCUGUAAGCCUGUGAAGGUGUGUCGUGAGGCAUGCUGGAGGUAUCAGAAGUGCGAAUGCUGACAUAAGUAACGAUAAAGCGGGUGAAAAGCCCGCUCGCCGGAAGACCAAGGGUUCCUGUCCAACGUUAAUCGGGGCAGGGUGAGUCGACCCCUAAGGCGAGGCCGAAAGGCGUAGUCGAUGGGAAACGGGUUAAUAUUCCCGUACUUGGUGUUACUGCGAAGGGGGGACGGAGAAGGCUAUGUUGGCCGGGCGACGGUUGUCCCGGUUUAAGCGUGUAGGUGUGUGUUCCAGGUAAAUCCGGUUCAC